RNAcentral lists this ribosomal RNA (770 nucleotides) under Bacillus sp. (in: firmicutes). RNAcentral's name for it is "bacterial SSU rRNA". It matches the Rfam family "Bacterial small subunit ribosomal RNA", at positions 108 to 852 of the family's 1533-position model. Lineage: Bacteria; Bacillati; Bacillota; Bacilli; Caryophanales; Bacillaceae. The record is from RNAcentral.
CAGUAAUUCGUAACGAGUUACCCGCCUGUAAGACUGGGAUAACUCCGGGAAACCGGGGCUAAUACCGGAUGCUUGUUUGAACCGCAUGGUUCAAACAUAAAAGGUGGCUUCGGCUACCACUUACAGAUGGACCCGCGGCGCAUUAGCUAGUUGGUGAGGUAAUGGCUCACCAAGGCAACGAUGCGUAGCCGACCUGAGAGGGUGAUCGGCCACACUGGGACUGAGACACGGCCCAGACUCCUACGGGAGGCAGCAGUAGGGAAUCUUCCGCAAUGGACGAAAGUCUGACGGAGCAACGCCGCGUGAGUGAUGAAGGUUUUCGGAUCGUAAAGCUCUGUUGUUAGGGAAGAACAAGUACCGUUCGAAUAGGGCGGUACCUUGACGGUACCUAACCAGAAAGCCACGGCUAACUACGUGCCAGCAGCCGCGGUAAUACGUAGGUGGCAAGCGUUGUCCGGAAUUAUUGGGCGUAAAGGGCUCGCAGGCGGUUUCUUAAGUCUGAUGUGAAAGCCCCCGGCUCAACCGGGGAGGGUCAUUGGAAACUGGGGAACUUGAGUGCAGAAGAGGGAGAGUGGAACUCCACGUGUAGCGGUGAAAUGCGUAGAGAUGUGGGAGGAACACCCGUGGGCGAAGGCGACUCUCUGGUCUGUAACUGACGCUGAGGAGCGAAAAGCGUGGGGGAGCGAACAGGAUUACAUACCCGGGUAGUCCACGCCCGUAAACGAUGAGUGCUAAGUGGUUAGGGGGUUUCCGCCCCUUAAUGCUGCAGC